GGCCUGGUGGUGGAAUCGGUUAGACACGCUUUAUAUUAGAUGGAAAGUACAUUGCAGGUUCGAAUCCUGCCUAGGCCG
Molecule: transfer RNA, 78 nt
Filed under: Muribaculaceae bacterium
Lineage: Bacteria; Pseudomonadati; Bacteroidota; Bacteroidia; Bacteroidales; Muribaculaceae
Description: tRNA-OTHER
Rfam family: tRNA
About the family: Transfer RNA (tRNA) molecules are approximately 80 nucleotides in length.
Source: RNAcentral